CAGCAGCCGCGGUAAUACGGAGGGGGCUAGCGUUGUUCGGAAUUACUGGGCGUAAAGCGCACGUAGGCGGCUUGGUAAGUUAGAGGUGAAAGCCCGGAGCUCAACUCCGGAAUUGCCUUUAAGACUGCCGAGCUAGUAGGUGAAAGAGGUAAGUGGAAUUCCGAGUGUAGAGGUGAAAUUCGUAGAUAUUCGGAAGGACACCAGUGGCAAAGGCGGCUUACUGGCUCAUUCUAGACGCUGAGGUGCGAAAGCGUGGGGAGCAAACGGGAUUAGAUACCCCAGUAGUCCCUGUCUCUUAUAC
RNAcentral lists this ribosomal RNA (301 nucleotides) under uncultured bacterium. RNAcentral describes it as "partial 16S ribosomal RNA". It matches the Rfam family "Bacterial small subunit ribosomal RNA", at positions 509 to 807 of the family's 1533-position model. The record is from RNAcentral.